This 555-nucleotide ribosomal RNA is filed under the name Aureobasidium sp. RNAcentral describes it as "eukaryotic LSU rRNA". The stretch from base 184 to 337 matches the Rfam family "5.8S ribosomal RNA". The record is from RNAcentral. Lineage: Eukaryota; Fungi; Ascomycota; Dothideomycetes; Dothideales; Saccotheciaceae.
UUAAAGAGUAAGGGUGCUCAGCGCCCGACCUCCAACCCUUUGUUGUUAAAACUACCUUGUUGCUUUGGCGGGACCGCUCGGUCUCGAGCCGCUGGGGAUUCGUCCCAGGCGAGCGCCCGCCAGAGUUAAACCAAACUCUUGUUAUUAAACCGGUCGUCUGAGUUAAAAUUUUGAAUAAAUCAAAACUUUCAACAACGGAUCUCUUGGUUCUCGCAUCGAUGAAGAACGCAGCGAAAUGCGAUAAGUAAUGUGAAUUGCAGAAUUCAGUGAAUCAUCGAAUCUUUGAACGCACAUUGCGCCCCUUGGUAUUCCGAGGGGCAUGCCUGUUCGAGCGUCAUUACACCACUCAAGCUAUGCUUGGUAUUGGGUGCCGUCCUUAGUUGGGCGCGCCUUAAAGACCUCGGCGAGGCCUCACCGGCUUUAGGCGUAGUAGAAUUUAUUCGAACGUCUGUCAAAGGAGAGGACUUCUGCCGACUGAAACCUUUUAUUUUUCUAGGUUGACCUCGGAUCAGGUAGGGAUACCCGCUGAACUUAAGCAUAUCAAUAAGCGGAGGA